This 301-nucleotide ribosomal RNA is filed under the name uncultured bacterium. Its description in RNAcentral is "partial 16S ribosomal RNA". It matches the Rfam family "Bacterial small subunit ribosomal RNA", at positions 509 to 809 of the family's 1533-position model. The record is from RNAcentral.
CAGUCGCCGCGGUAAUACGAAGGGUGCAAGCGUUACUCGGAAUUACUGGGCGUAAAGCGUGCGUAGGUGGUGGUUUAAGUCCGUUGUGAAAGCCCUGGGCUCAACCUGGGAAUUGCAGUGGAUACUGGGUCACUAGAGUGUGGUAGAGGAUAGUGGAAUUUCCGGUGUAGCAGUGAAAUGCGUAGAGAUCGGAAGGAACAUCUGUGGCGAAGGCGACUAUCUGGGCCAACACUGACACUGAGGCACGAAAGCGUGGGGAGCAAACAGGAUUAGAUACCCCCGUAGUCCCUGUCUCUUAUCA